AGUACGUGAAACUGCUUAGAGGUUAAGCCCGAUGAACCUGAAUAUCCAUUAUGGAAAAUUCAACAUUAAUAUUAUAAUAUUUAUUUAUAAAUAUUAUAAAAAUAGUGUGCAAUUUUUCCAUAUAAGGACAUUGUAAUCUGUUAAUGUAAUAAAUAUUUAUCAUAAGAUUCAGUAUAUAAAAGUUUAUUCAAAUUAGUUAUUUUCCGAUUUCUAACAUAGAAUAAAUUUAAUUGAAUUUGAUAAAUCAUUGACAGAUUUAUUUAUAUAUAGUGCUUAAAUUCUUAAUUGAAUUUUACAAUAAUUUAUAAAUGUAUUUUCAUUUAUUUAUUUAUUGUAUGCACUUAUAUGAUUAACAAUGCUAUAGAUUCAGGAUACCUUCGGGACCCGUCUUGAAACACGGACCAAGGAGUCUAACAUAUGUGCAAGUCAUUGGGUAUUUUUAAUAAAACCCAAAGGCAUAAUUAACUUAACUGUUUUUUUAUAUGGGAUUAGUUUAUAUUUUAUUAUGAAAUAUUUAUUCAAUCCCGGGGCGUUCUAUAUAGUUAUGUAUAAUAAUAUUUAUAUUAUUUAUGCCUCUAACUAGAGCGUACCUUGAGCAUAUAUGCUGUGACCC
RNAcentral lists this ribosomal RNA (613 nucleotides) under Merodon trochantericus. RNAcentral describes it as "partial large subunit ribosomal RNA". Lineage: Eukaryota; Metazoa; Arthropoda; Insecta; Diptera; Syrphidae. The record is from RNAcentral.